RNAcentral lists this ribosomal RNA (432 nucleotides) under uncultured bacterium. RNAcentral's name for it is "partial 16S ribosomal RNA". It matches the Rfam family "Bacterial small subunit ribosomal RNA", at positions 29 to 506 of the family's 1533-position model. The record is from RNAcentral.
AACGAACGCUGGCGGCAGGCUUAACACAUGCAAGUCGAGCGCAUCCUUCGGGGUGAGCGGCGGACGGGUGAGUAACGCGUGGGAACGUGCCCUCUUCUACGGAAUAGCCUCGGGAAACUGAGAGUAAUGCCGUAUACGCCCGCAAGGGGAAAGAUUUAUCGGAGGAGGAUCGGCCCGCGUUGGAUUAGGUAGUUGGUGGGGUAACGGCCUACCAAGCCGACGAUCCAUAGCUGGUUUGAGAGGAUGAUCAGCCACACUGGGACUGAGACACGGCCCAGACUCCUACGGGAGGCAGCAGUGGGGAAUCUUGGACAAUGGGGGCAACCCUGAUCCAGCCAUGCCGCGUGAUCGAUGAAGGCCUUAGGGUUGUAAAGAUCUUUCAGCUGGGAAGAUAAUGACGGUACCAGCAGAAGAAACCCCGGCUAACUCCGU